This 468-nucleotide ribosomal RNA is filed under the name uncultured bacterium. RNAcentral describes it as "partial 16S ribosomal RNA". It matches the Rfam family "Bacterial small subunit ribosomal RNA", at positions 28 to 507 of the family's 1533-position model. The record is from RNAcentral.
GACGAACGCUGGCGGCGUGCUUAACACAUGCAAGUCGAACGGAAAGGCCCUGCUUUUGUGGGGUGCUCGAGUGGCGAACGGGUGAGUAACACGUGAGUAACCUGCCCUUGACUUUGGGAUAACUUCAGGAAACUGGGGCUAAUACCGGAUAGGAGCUCCUGCUGCAUGGUGGGGGUUGGAAAGUUUCGGCGGUUGGGGAUGGACUCGCGGCUUAUCAGCUUGUUGGUGGGGUAGUGGCUUACUAAGGCUUUGACGGGUAGCCGGCCUGAGAGGGUGACCGGCCACAUUGGGGCUGAGAUACGGCCCAGACUCCUACGGGAGGCAGCAGUGGGGAAUAUUGCACAAUGGGCGGAAGCCUGAUGCAGCAACGCCGCGUGCGGGAUGACGGCCUUCGGGUUGUAAACCGCUUUCGCCUGUGACGAAGCGUGAGUGACGGUAAUGGGUAAAGAAGCACCGGCUAACUACGUG